RNAcentral lists this long non-coding RNA (4515 nucleotides) under Citrus x clementina. Its description in RNAcentral is "Citrus clementina (C. clementina) long non-coding RNA (CCLE_LNC006312)". The record is from RNAcentral. Lineage: Eukaryota; Viridiplantae; Streptophyta; Magnoliopsida; Sapindales; Rutaceae.
CUUGGGACCCCGACCUUCGGGGGCUGUUUUUUGGGCGCGGCUGUGCCCGUGGCCUAUUUUUGGCACACGGAGGCCGCCCGCAAAGUCUGGUGCCAUUCCGAGUCCCGCGGACGAACUUCGCCCACGCCCCCCACCAAGGCUAUAGCCCACCCGUUUUUUGGCCAUUUUUCCGCUGGGGGGUCUUGGGACCCCGAACUUCGGGGGCUGUUUUUUGGGCGCGGCUGUGCCCGUGGCCUAUUUUUGGCACACGGAGGCCGCCCGCCAAGUCUGGUGCCAUUCCGAGUCCCGCGGACGAACUUCGCCCACGCCCCCCACCAAGGCUAUAGCCCACCCGUUUUUUGGCCAUUUUUCCGCUGGGGGGUCUUGGGACCCCGAACUUCGGGGGCUGUUUUUUGGGCGCGGCUGUGCCCGUGGCCUAUUUUUGGCACACGGAGGCCGCCCGCCAAGUCUGGUGCCAUUCCGAGUCCCGCGGACGAACUUCGCCCACGCCCCCCACCAAGGCUAUAGCCCACCCGUUUUUUGGCCAUUUUUCCGCUGGGGGGUCUUGGGACCCCGAACUUCGGGGGCUGUUUUUUGGGCGCGGCUCUGCCCGUGGCCUAUUUUUGGCACACGGAGGCCGCCCGCCAAGUCUGGUGCCAUUCCGAGUCCCGCGGACGAACUUCGCCCACGCCCCCCACCAAGGCUAUAGCCCACCCGUUUUUUGGCCAUUUUUCCGCUGGGGGGUCUUGGGACCCCGAACUUUGGGGGCUGUUUUUUGGGCGCGGCUGUGCCCGUGGCCUAUUUUUGGCACACGGAGGCCGCCCGCCAAGUCUGGUGCCAUUCCGAGUCCCGCGGACGAACUUCGCCCACGCCCCCCACCAAGGCUAUAGCCCAUCCGUUUUUUGGCCAUUUUUCCGCUGGGGGGUCUUGGGACCCCGAACUUCGGGGGCUGUUUUUUGGGCGCGGCUGUGCCCGUGGCCUAUUUUUGGCACACGGAGGCCGCCCGCCAAGUCUGGUGCUAUUCCGAGUCCCGCGGACGAACUUCGCCCACGCCCCCCACCAAGGCUAUAGCCCACCCGUUUUUUGGCCAUUUUUCCGCUGGGGGGUCUUGGGACCCCGAACUUCGGGGGCUGUUUUUUGGGUGCGGCUGUGCCCGUGGCCUAUUUUUGGCACACGGAGGCCGCCCGCCAUGUCUGGUGCCAUUCCGAGUCCCGCGGAUGAACUUCGCCCACGCCCCCCACCAAGGCUAUAGCCCACCGUUUUUUGGCCAUUUUUCCGCUGGGGGGUCUUGGGACCCCGAACUUCGGGGGCUGUUUUUUGGGUGCGGCUGCGCCCGUGACCUAUUUUUGGCACACGGAGGCCGCCCGCCAAGUCUGGUGCCAUUCUGAGUCCCGCGGACGAAAUUCGCCCACGCCCCCCACCAAGGCUAUAGCCCACCCGUUUUUUGGCCAUUUUUCCGCUGGGGGGUCUUGGGACCCCGAACUUCGGGGGCUGUUUUUUGGGCGCGGCUGUGCCCGUGGCCUAUUUUUGGCACACGGAGGCCGCCCGCAAAGUCUGGUGCCAUUCGGAGUCCCGCGGACGAACUUCGCCCACGCCCCCCACCAAGGCUAUAGCCCACCCGUUUUUUGGCCAUUUUUCCGCUGGGGGGUCUUGGGAACCCGAACUUCGGGGGCUGUUUUUUGGGCACGGCUGUGCCCGUGGCCUAUUUUUGGCACACGGAGGCCGCGCGCCAAGUCUGGAGCCAUUCCGAGUCCCACGGACGAACUUCGCCCACGCCCCCCACCUAGGCUAUAGCCCACCGUUUUUUGGCCAUUUUUCCGCUGGGGGGUCUUGGGACCCCGAACUUCGGGGGCUGUUUUUUGGGCGCGGCUGUGCCCGUGGCCUAUUUUUGGCACACGGAAGCCGCCCCGCCAUUCUGGUGCCAUUCCGAGUCCCGCGGAAGAACUUCGCCCACGCCCCCCACCAAGGCUAUAGCCCACCUGUUUUUUGGCCAUUUUUCCGCUGGGGGUUCUUGGGACCCCGAACUUCGGGGGCUGUUUUUUGGGCGCGGCUGUGCCCGUGGCCUAUUUUUGGCACACGGAGGCCGCCCGCCAAGUCUGGUGCCAUUCCGAGUCCCGCGGACGAACAUUGCCCACGCCCCCCACCAAGGCUAUAGCCCACCCGUUUUUUGGCCAUUGUUCCGCUGGGGGGUCUUGGGACCCCGAACUUCGGGGGCUGUUUUUUGGGCGCGGCUGUGCCCGUGGCCUAUUUUUGGCACACGGAGGCCGCCCGCCAAGUCUGGUGCCAUUCCGAGUCCCGCGGACGAACUUCGCCCACGCCCCCCACCAAGGCUAUAGCCCACCCGUUUUUUGGCCAUUUUUCCGCUGGGAGGUCUUGGGACCCCGAACUUCGGGGGCUGUUUUUUGGGCGCGGCUGUGCCCGUGGCCUAUUUUUGGCACACGGAGGCCGCCCGCCAAGUCUGGUGCCAUUCCGAGUCCCGCGGACGAACUUCGCCCACGCACCCCACCAAGGCUAUAGCCCACCGUUUUUUGGCCAUUUUUCCGCUGGGGGGUCUUGGGACCCCGAACUUCGGGGGUUGUUUUUUGGGCGCGGCUGUGCCCGUGGCCUAUUUUUGGCACACGGAGGCCGCCCGCCAAGUCUGGUGCCAUUCCGAGUCCCGCGGACGAACUUCGCCACGCCCCCCACCAAGGCUAUAGCCCACCGUUUUUUGGCCAUUUUUCCGCUAGGGGGUCUUGGGACCCCGAACUUCGGGGGCUGUUUUUUGGGCGCGGCUGUGCCCGUGGCCUAUUUUUGGCACACGGAGGCCGCCCGCCAAGUCUGGUGCCAUUCCGAGUCCCGCGGACGAACUUCGCCCACGCCCCCCACCAAGGCUAUAGCCCACCCGUUAUUUGGCCAUUUUUCCGCUGGGGGGUCUUGGGACCCCGAACUUCGGGGGCUGUUUUUUGGGCGCGGCUGUGCCCGUGGCCUAUUUUUGGCACACGGAGGCCGCCCGCCAAGUCUGGUGCCAUUCCGAGUCCCGCGGACGAACUUCGCCCACGCACCCCACCAAGGCUAUAGCCCACCCGUUUUUUGGCCAUUUUUCCGCUGGGGGGUCUUGGGACCCCGAACUUCGGGGGUUGUUUUUUGGGCGCGGCUGUGCCCGUGGCCUAUUUUUGGCACACGGAGGCCGCCCGCCAAGUCUGGUGCCAUUCCGAGUCCCGCGGACGAACUUCGCCCACGCCCCCCACCAAGGCUAUAGCCCACCGUUUUUUGGCCAUUUUUCCGCUGGGUGGUCUUGGGACCCCGAACUUCGGGGGCUGUUUUUUGGGCGCGGCUGUGCCCGUGGCCUAUUUUUGGCACACGGAGGCCGCCCGCCAAGUCUGGUGCCAUUCCGAGUCCCGCGGACGAACUUCGCCCACGCCCCCCACCAAGGCUAUAGCCCACCCGUUUUUUGGCCAUUUUUCCGCUGGGGGGUCUUGGGACCCCGAACUUCGGGGGCUGUUUUUUGGGCACGGCUGUGCCCGUGGCCUAUUUUUGGCAUACGGAGGCCGCCCGCCAAGUCUGGUGCCAUUCCGAGUCCCGCGGACGAACUUCGCCCACGCCCCCCACCAAGGCUAUAGCCCACCCGUUUUUUGGCCAUUUUUCCGCUGGGGGGUCUUGGGACCCCGAACUUCGGGGGCUGUUUUUUGGGCGCGGCUGUGCCCGUGGCCUAUUUUUGGCACACGGAGGCCGCCCGCCAAGUCUGGUGCCAUUCCGAGUCCCGCGGACGAACUUCGCCCACGCCCCCCACCAAGGCUAUAGCCCACCGUUUUUUGGCCAUUUUUCCGCUGGGGGGUCUUGGGACCCCGAACUUCGGGGGUUGUUUUUUGGGCGCGGCUGUGCCCGUGGCCUAUUUUUGGCACACGGAGGCCGCCCGCCAAGUCUGGUGCCAUUCCGAGUCCCACGGACGAACUUCGCCCACGCCCCCCACCAAGGCUAUAGCCCACCGUUUUUUGGCCAUUUUUCCGCUGGGGGGUCUUGGGACCCCGAACUUCGGGGGCUGUUUUUUGGGCGCGGCUGUGCCCGUGGCCUAUUUUUGGCACACGGAGGCCGCCCGCCAAGUCUGGUGCCAUUCCGAGUCCCGCGGACGAACUUCGCCCACGCACCCCACCAAGGCUAUAGCCCACCGUUUUUUGGCCAUUUUUCCGCUGGGGGGUCUUGGGACCCCGAACUUCGGGGGUUGUUUUUUGGGCGCGGCUGUGCCCGUGGCCUAUUUUUGGCACACGGAGGCCGCCCGCCAAGUCUGGUGCCAUUCCGAGUCCCGCGGACGAACUUCGCCCACGCCCCCCACCAAGGCUAUAGCCCACCAUUUUUUGGCCAUUUUUCCGCUGCGGGGUCUUGGGACCCCGAACUUCGGGGGCUGUUUUUUGGGCGCGGCUGUGCCCGUGGCCUAUUUUUGGCACACGGAGGCCGCCCGCCAAGUCUGGUGCCAUUCCGAGUCCCGCGGACGAACUUCGCCCACGCCCCUUCCAGCAAGGCUAUAGCCCACCCGUUUUUUGGCCAUUUUCCGCUGGGGGG